This is a long non-coding RNA of Aethalodelphis obliquidens (Pacific white-sided dolphin), 430 nucleotides long. RefSeq lists it as uncharacterized. The transcript is spliced from 3 exons. NCBI's taxonomy places the organism in Eukaryota, Metazoa, Chordata, Mammalia, Artiodactyla, Delphinidae. The record is from RefSeq and is a predicted model, not a curated record.
GAAGCUGGCAGGGAAGAAGCGACUCAGCGCUUUUCUCUUCCGCAAAUCCUUUCCCCGGGACCACAAAUCCCAGAAGUCACUGCGGCCGCCCCCACCCCAUUAUUACCCUCCAAGGCUGGUAGUCCGGGCCGCCCGGGCAAGGAGCGGCCUCUAGCGGCAGACGAGAGCGUCGGCGCGUGGGCGCCCACAACUCGGCAGCGCAGAAAGCUACGGCUGCGCCGGCUGAGUGCGCGCGGAGAGGACAGCCCUGGCGGUACCACGAGGUCCAUCCAGUCAGCAGGUCUUGGAGUUAAGUCAACAGGAGAAGAGUCAAGUGACGUUACAGAUGAGAUAUACGUCUGAUUUCUUUCUUCCUUCGCCCUCCAUCUCAGAGAAGUGUGCUGUCUAGCCGUUAGAAGACCAAAAGAGAAAUUUCCAUAAGGGAAAAAAA